ACCACUAAUUGAGGGAGUGAAGAAGGCAGCAGCUCGCUUCUAACUGGACUGCAGCAUAGGGUCCUCAAGAUUCGUCCAUGUCGUAGAGUGUGAACUUCUUACAAGGAGAAGAGUUUUGUUCAUAAGUGUCUCAGAUCUGGGACAGUGUCCUGAGCUGGCAGCAGACCUACCCGACUUUCACUAGAACUCAGCUUUCACAUUCCAGAAAACAUGACCCUUGCUGCCUACAAAGAGAAGAUGAAGGAGCUCCCCCUGGUGUCCCUGUUCUGCUCCUGCUUCCUGGCCGAUCCCCUGAAUAAGUCAUCCUAUAAAUAUGAAGGCUGGUGUGGGCGACAGUGUAGGAGGAAAGAUGAAAGCCAGCGGAGGGACAGUGCUGACUGGAGAGAAAGAAGAGAGCAGGCGGACACGGUGGACCUGAACUGGUGUGUAAUUUCUGACAUGGAAGUCAUUGAGCUGAAUAAAUGCACCUCAGGCCAGUCCUUUGAAGUCAUCCUGAAGCCGCCCUCCUUUGAUGGGGUGCCCGAGUUCAAUGCCUCCCUACCCAGACGGCGAGACCCAUCACUGGAAGAAAUCCAGAAGAAACUGGAAGCAGCUGAGGAGCGAAGGAAGUACCAGGAAGCUGAGCUCCUGAAGCACCUGGCAGAGAAACGAGAACAUGAAAGGGAGGUGAUCCAAAAAGCCAUUGAGGAGAACAACAACUUCAUCAAGAUGGCUAAGGAAAAACUGGCCCAGAAGAUGGAAUCCAAUAAGGAGAACCGGGAGGCCCACCUUGCUGCCAUGUUGGAACGGCUGCAAGAGAAGGACAAGCACGCAGAGGAGGUGCGGAAAAACAAGGAGCUGAAGGAAGAGGCCUCCAGGUAAAGCCCAGAGGCACAGAGGUUUCCAGAAUGCCGGACCGCUCCAGCAGCUCCGCAGUUCCUGAGGCAGCCUCGCCCACCGCUGGCUGCUCUCCCAGCACUGGGGUUUGGGGGGAGGGGGGUGGCCAGGGGCGUUUCCUCUGCUUUUGGUGUUUGUACAUGUAAAGAAUUGACCAGUGAAGCCAUCCUAUUUGUUUCAGGGGAACAAUGAUGGGGUGGGAGAGGGGAGAGGAGAGAGGUUGGGAAAGGGAGAUGGAAGAGGACUCAUGGACAUUGCAACCCAGCCUGGGUCACGUCCUCGGGCUUUUCUUCACAGUGAGCAUCCGGGCACCGCCUUGAGGGAAGUUAAAAACAGGCAGUAGAACUCUGAGGGUAAGGCAGAGCCCUGGGUGGAGCGAGAACUGCAGGGCGUGGCCUGAGACGCCAGCAGGGAGUGGGGCCCUCCACCUGAGGCAGUGGGAUGAGGUCUGAGUGUGUGUGUGUGUUAACCAUUAUCUUUUGAUCAUCAUGACCAAUAAUGAAACAU
RNAcentral lists this long non-coding RNA (1383 nucleotides) under Sus scrofa (pig). Its description in RNAcentral is "lncRNA (ENSSSCG00030008391.1)". The record is from RNAcentral. Lineage: Eukaryota; Metazoa; Chordata; Mammalia; Artiodactyla; Suidae.